This is a long non-coding RNA of Sus scrofa (pig), 2974 nucleotides long. RefSeq lists it as uncharacterized. The record is from RefSeq and is a predicted model, not a curated record. NCBI's taxonomy places the organism in Eukaryota, Metazoa, Chordata, Mammalia, Artiodactyla, Suidae.
AUCAUUGUACAACUAUAAAUGUAGUAAAUUCUUUGAGUAAUUAAAAAAAAAAAAAGCCUCUGGCCAAGCGAAGAGCUACCAGACUCUUAUCAUUCCACUGCCUCGUUGUAAUUGUUACAGACUUCCUGAGCCCCCCCGCCCCCAACCCCUAGAACCUGGCCUACUCCUUCCUGCUUCCUACUAGGAAAAAUAUGUGCCCCACUCCUCACCCUGCCCCUGGGGGCAUUCUACUUCCCCAAGAAACCCACAAGUAUGUCAUAAGACCCCUCUUCCCCCAACCAAUUAUGAGGUCAGGUCAGUCAGUCUCUCUCCCCUUUGUCUCUGGGCUACAAAAGCAGACAUGAUCAUGAGCUGGAGUUGGGUCUCCCUGAUCAUCAGGAAGCCAUCCUGCUGCCCUAGCAGUCACUCAUCUCAAUAAAAUUAUUUUUCUUUUCACCCCACUAUGAGUCUGGAAAUUCCUUAUUCAACCAUCACCUACAGACGACACCAAUAAUUAGAGAAAUCCCUCUAAGCUUCAGUAUACUCAUGUGUAGAAUUGAUAUGUACUGUGGUACUAUCUACUUUGUUGUUAUGAGGACAAAAGUGAAAUAAGGAGUAAAAAGCUGAAUAACAUAAAGGGUAAAAUGAGACAAUAUUCAUAAAGCACGUGGCCUAGUUCCUGAAAGCAGUAUUAGUUCAUGUUUUCUUUCCUUCCAAACCCUUUAUUUUACAGAGGAAAACACAAAUCUAAAUGUCACAGCUAUUUAAUGGCACACUCAAGACUAUAAUGGAGUGGUCUUGACUGCACUUUGUUACUAAUUACAGUAAAUGCCCUUACCCUCUGUGGGUGAUAGCAGUGCUUCUGCAGUUGUAGAGUCUCUUUAGGUACCUCCUUAGGUACUUUCCUUAGGUACCUCCCUAAGGAAGGGGGUCUUCUUGACCUUCCUCUUGAAAUGUAAGCUGUCUAUUCAGUAGACACCUGCAUUAAUUGCACCAUAAUUACCCUAAGUGUUCCUUUGUUUUCAGGAUUCAUACAGUUUAUACUCAAGGAACAGAAACAAGUACAAUACAAAAAGAUCAGGAGAGGCUGUAGAUUAGCAUAGCAAAUACAACAAAAGAGAUAAAGUGGAAUCGUAAUCAAGAAGAGAGCAGAAAAAAAAAAAAAGGAAAUAGCAAACAAAGUUGGUAAGGCGCUUGGGGUAGGUGUGAACCCAGGUCUUCUGGCUGAUAUACCUGGGCUUCUUCCUCUGACGCUCCACUCAUCCCUGCCUGGAAUUCUGUUUUCUCCUUCCUUUUUCUCCCUGAGUAAGUCUGAAUUACUUCUGUUACUGUCUGAGGCCUUGCAUCUGAGGUCAGGGUUUGUCAACAGGGCUAGAAAGGUACAGAAAAACAGAUGCUAGAAUAUCAGUUAAACACUACACCUACUUCAAAGAUUGACAUCACCCUGUUUUCUUUCACUGUGGGAGGGACAAAUCCAAACUGAGACAGAGACAUUGUUUUCAGAGCAGGCACGAGUACAUAGGAGAAUAUCAGUGCUACCUGCUAGCACAGGAACCACAUCUUUUUAAUCUUCCUUUACUCUGUGCCUAAAACAUAGUAGGUGUUCAAUAUUUACAUGAAAAUUGGUGCUGAUUAUGGGACCUCAAGGCCUCUCCAAUGAGAUAAACUCAAAGAACUUGAGAUAAAAAGUACCAGACCCUUAUUGCCCUUCUGUCCCACUGCAAUUGUUACAAAGUUCUUGAGCUCCUCCUUAGUAACCUGGUCUACUCCUUUCUGCCCCCUUCUAAGAAAGGUAUUUGGCCCAUUCCUCACCCCUACAGGGGACUUAUAUAGCCCCAACAAACCAGCAAGUUUAUCCAAGACCUCUCCUCUCUCCUUUGUCCUUGGGCUAUAAAACAGACAGGACUACAGGCUCAGAGUCUGCUCUCCCUGAUUAUCAGGAAGUCUCCCAGCUGUGCCAGCAAGCAUUUCUUAUCUCAAUAAACUUAUCUUUCUUUUUACCCUGCUCUGUGUCUGGAAAUUCUUUUUCCAACCCAUGCACGGCCACAACACUGCUCUCUUGAGUUUUAAUCUAACCCAGGAGAAUGAGUUCAUAGUGAAGCAAUUUCUGUAACAUAACUUCUUGAUAUAGCUUGCUUAUUUAUUUAAGACUCAGCCUAUCAAGGAGUAACUAUUUUACUGAUCCCACUUUAUAGAAGAGAACAUUGAGUCAGAGUUGAAGGUCUGCCAAUGCUCACUCAACUAGAAUGCAGUAAAAAAUCUGGUGUUUCAUAUCAGAUUUAUGAGAGCUUUACAAUUAUAACCAGAGCUAGGGCCAGAGCCCAGGUGUUCCAUUCCAUUAACAAGCAAAAAACUAGUAAUAGGUAAUUAAAGCAGAAAGAUGCACAAAGCUUUAAUGCUUUGUUCCAAGCAUUUUAGAGCAAUACACUAAAGUGGGACCUAGACAGCCUUUGUCAUUUUACUUUAGCUGAGAAAUGAACAUUUGAUUACAAAGCCUCUCAGGAGUGCAGAGAUAAAUGCACGGUUGUUAAAUAUUAACAUUAACAUCUAAAGACUUGUGUUUUUUUUUUCUUUGUGGAACUAAAGCCCUUUUUACUUCCCUCCACAGGCCAUGAGCACCAAUAGACCAGCACUGGCUUAGGAGUAUAUCUGUUUUACAUCCAGAUGAACAUUAAUCUCUAACCCACCCCUCAACUGAUAGAAAAGGAAUGAGAGGAAUGGUGACUCCCAGCGACUCCCAGUCUAGAGAAAAGAAGAACAAAGAAACCCUAAAGCUUAGGGGGCAUGUGCACCUCUAAGACCCCUAUUGGUGACAAGGACUGAUAUAGGUAAGGCCAAUGGGAAAAAGAACUGAUAGCAGGACCCCAUGUUGGAACUCCUGUCUUUAAGAGAUUAAAAACCUCCAAAGAAUAGAAAGUGGGACUCUUCUUCCCCCUCCCAGUGUCUGUACUGGAAGCUAUUUGCUUUCCUGUAAUAAAGACUUUUGCUUGCUUGC